RNAcentral lists this ribosomal RNA (264 nucleotides) under uncultured archaeon. RNAcentral's name for it is "partial 16S ribosomal RNA". It matches the Rfam family "Archaeal small subunit ribosomal RNA", at positions 714 to 982 of the family's 1478-position model. The record is from RNAcentral.
AGACGUCUACAUUAGAUACCCCUGUAGUCCCAGCCGUAAACUAUGCGCGUUAGGUGUAUCGGUGACCACGAGUCACCGAGGUGCCGAAGGGAAACCGUGAAACGUGCCGCCUGGGAAGUACGGUCGCAAGGCUGAAGCUUAAAGGAAUUGGCGGGGAGCACCACAACGGGUGGAGCCUGCGGUUUAAUUGGACUCAACGCCGGGAAGCUCACCGGAUAAGACAGCGGAAUGAUUGCCGGGCUGAAGACUCUGCAUGACUAGCUG